RNAcentral lists this long non-coding RNA (1103 nucleotides) under Malus domestica (apple). Its description in RNAcentral is "long non-coding RNA (MDOM_LNC003315)". Lineage: Eukaryota; Viridiplantae; Streptophyta; Magnoliopsida; Rosales; Rosaceae. The record is from RNAcentral.
AAAAAUGUAAUGGAUGAAUUAUAUUGAAAUAAAAUAGUACUUGAUGUAUGAAAGUGAAAUGUUUUAAAAAUAUUGUAAGGAAUUGAAAUCGACCCCAAACCUGAGAGGGUAAAAUAUAAUUUACACUAAAUAAAAUGUUAAACAUCAACCAUACAAUUUAAUAAUUACAAACGCAUCAGAAUACAAAAUAGAAAUAUUCAUUUUUCCUUUUAGUUGUGAGUGAUUCACAUAGAACUAGUUCACUGUUUCAAAGCAUUCUAAUCCAAUAAUAUAUUGUCAUGUAUAAAUUUUUUUUUCCAUGGCAAUACGUUAUUGGACCAGGACACCAUAGUGACAGUAAAAUUGUUCUAUGUAAGUUACUCUACCAGCUCGUUUGAAUGUGCUUUUAAAAUGAAUAAAAGCGUUUUUGGUUAAAAUAUUUUUAGAAACAAUUCUUAGUAAAAAUGUAAGUAAAUCUUGAAAAAGCACUUAAAAUGCUUCAUGUAAGAAGCACAUAACUGGUGCUUCUUGUAGAAAACACUUGAUUAAUUGGAGCCCAAAAACAAUUUCUCCAAAAGUAUUUUCAGUCAUUUUAAAAACAUAUCCAAACGAAUCCCAAGUCUAGUAUUAUUUUUUGGGCGGGGCAAUGCCUAGUGCUUCUUGUCUUCCGCACAAGAAACAGUAAAUGUUGCAUGACUCUUCAUUCAAAUAAUGUUUGGCCCAUUCGGUUCACGUGUUAGAAGUUUGAGAACGGAGUUAAAUUUAAAGGUAAAAAGAGCAUUUCCAGUGAGGGGCUUUAUAUAGGAUUGGAAAAGUAGUUGAUAUAGCCCAUUUAAGAGCUCUAAGGGAUCUUUAAGGCUUUAUAAAAGAAUCUUUCCUAAUGAGAGACUAUUCCCUCCGGGCUUUGUAUGGGGCUUUAUAUAUUUAUUUAUGUAAUAAUUUGAUUAUGCGAUAAAUUUUUUUGAGUUAACUUUUCUUAAGUUGAUUUUUGGACGUGUUAUCUUAAUUUUUUUAUGAACCUUCCAACCCAAAAAAGAUCAAAUUCUGACAAAGUUAGAUUUCAUCUGUUCAAACCCUCACAUCGCCCUCUGAAAUAAUUUGAUUUUCACGUAUAACAAUAAUUU